Molecule: ribosomal RNA, 465 nt
Filed under: Vreelandella stevensii
Lineage: Bacteria; Pseudomonadati; Pseudomonadota; Gammaproteobacteria; Oceanospirillales; Halomonadaceae
Description: partial 16S ribosomal RNA
Rfam family: Bacterial small subunit ribosomal RNA
Source: RNAcentral
CCUACGGGGGGCUGCAGUGGGGAAUAUUGGACAAUGGGGGGAACCCUGAUCCAGCCAUGCCGCGUGUGUGAAGAAGGCCCUCGGGUUGUAAAGCACUUUCAGUGAGGAAGAACGCCUGGUGGUUAAUACCCAUCAGGAAAGACAUCACUCACAGAAGAAGCACCGGCUAACUCCGUGCCAGCAGCCGCGGUAAUACGGAGGGUGCGAGCGUUAAUCGGAAUUACUGGGCGUAAAGCGCGCGUAGGUGGCUUGAUAAGCCGGUUGUGAAAGCCCCGGGCUCAACCUGGGAACGGCAUCCGGAACUGUCAAGCUAGAGUGCAGGAGAGGAAGGUAGAAUUCCCGGUGCAGCGGUGAAAUGCGUAGAGAUCGGGAGGAAUACCAGUGGCGAAGGCGGCCUUCUGGACUGACACUGACACUGAGGUGCGAAAGCGUGGGUAGCAAACAGGAUUAGAUACCCUAGUAGUC